CGAGUAAAUAAACCGCUCGUCGGAUUCCGAUUUAAAAUUUGUCGUCAAACUGAGGCCAUCGAUUACUGGCGAUAGAAAUAAACUAAUUACAAAUUUUUCCGUGAUUACUGUAGAUAGUCGAUAUUUGUAUACGUGCAUAUCAUAGUUACAAGGGUUACUGGUCAAAGUUCAAGUUGUCGCUUGGUGUACAAAGUACAAUACAGGAAGCCUCCGCCACACCAAAGUCGUCGCGCCAAACGCCACGCCCCUAUAAGAUUAGGAGCAACCUCGCUACUUCACCCCGCCAUUUGGGAAUCCAGGGAAGAAAUCUUUACUCCUCAUCCACAUUUUCCACGGGCAUACAAAUCGAAACCAAAUGAGAUCGUUGUCGGCCCACCAUUCGACAUCUGAAGCCACUGCUCUAGUCGAUCUCGAAACUGAACGGUGAUAAAAGCGGUAUCUUCGUCCGUUGAUGAAACGCACAGGGUCGCGUUUCCGAUUUCAGCGUCCGGCCCAGCUGAACAAGAUCGCUGUAGUUGUAGCCAAUGGCAACAAACAUUUAUCACCUACAUUAUACUAGUGGCCUAAAGCACCAGAUCUAUAGAAACACAAAGGUGAUGGAAUUCCAUCAUCUUUACGGUCAAUUGAGUUCGACCGUAUCACGAAGUGAAACAUCUAGCCCGAUGUUGUUCAAGAUUUGCAUCAUGGCCCCAAGAAUAUCUCACCUGAUUGGGUCUACCCAUUGGCUAGACCUCUGUUUCUGGCUGAAUGUCUCGUUUUUCCGCACAAACUGCCCCAAAUUCCCAAACCCUCUGUGCAUGUCGCACUAAGAAGAAAGGGCGACCAAAGCCGGAAACAUAGGCAUGGACUAAAAACGGCAAGGGAAGUCGCCCGUCACAGAGGAGUGAAGAUGGCUUGGAACUUUAGAGUUAAACCUGCAGACUGGCCGGUCAGCUUGCAUGUCUUUCACGCUUGAAGGUCGCGGGGAAUAUUACGUGUAAAACUGUCAAUGCGGUAGUGUAGAGGUUGGACCCAUCCCCAGCAACGUCAACCUAAAGAAGGAAAGGCCAGUUUGCAUGUCCUUCCCGCUCGAAGGUCACGGAGAUCAUUACGGAAAACGUGUCAUGCGACGGCGGAGAGGUUGGGUGAGGACGACACGUGUUACAUCAUUAUCAAUAGAAAAUGUGAAAGGGGUAUGCAGCCUACUGUCAACUAUUUUGUGUUGUAAAUCCUGGGAUCCUACUGAAUGUGUCAUAAAAAUGACAGAGGAUUCAACAUAAUUAUCGAUUCUAUUAGACUUGCUGGAUCACCAACCCCAGCAUAGACCAAUCUCUCAUUCCAUCUUCUAGAGAACCUUGGAUAACUGAUUAUUGGUGGUUUUGUGUGUCGAGUCAUGUCAUUUGAAGAAAAAGGACAAUGACUAUACAGUCGACAAGGUCCUUUGUUUGGUAACCCGUUGGCUGCUACCUUUGAAUAUCCCUUUUUACUUCCUGAAACAGGCCCUCUUGAUUUGAGGGUAACUCCUUCGCUACUUAUCGUGGACUUCAUCCAUUGGUGAAAACUGAUAAGAGAAAGCUGUAAUUCAAGACUGAUAGUUGUUUGAUGUCUAAGCCGGAAGACUACUAUGGUUAAUCGCUCUCGUAAUAACUGUUCCUCAACUCUUCGCUCUUUUUCUGGUUUCUCUUAACCAUUGGCCAUGUCUUAACCGUUGACCCUGGCUGCAGUCAAUUAAGGCAGCAUCUCCCCCUGUCUUGAUUGACUGUCUGUGCGAGUUUCAAAAGCAGUUUAUCACCCAAAUGAGACAAAAAGGAGUUUGUCUUAUUUGGGUAUAAAUUGUUUUAAAAUUUGCACAGAAUAACAUGUGUC
This is a long non-coding RNA of Daphnia pulicaria, 1845 nucleotides long. RefSeq lists it as uncharacterized. Lineage: Eukaryota; Metazoa; Arthropoda; Branchiopoda; Diplostraca; Daphniidae. The record is from RefSeq and is a predicted model, not a curated record. The transcript is spliced from 11 exons.